UGCAGAGGGUGCAAGCGUUGUUCGGAAUUAUUGGGCGUAAAGCGCGUGUAGGCGGCUUUGCAAGUCGGGUGUGAAAUCCCUCAGCUUAACUGAGGAAGUGCGCCCGAAACUGCCGAGCUUGAGUACCGGAGAGGGUGGCGGAAUUCCCCAAGUAGAGGUGAAAUUCGUAGAUAUGGGGAGGAACACCGGUGGCGAAGGCGGCCACCUGGACGGAUACUGACGCUGAGACGCGAAAGCGUGGGGAGCAAACAGG
RNAcentral lists this ribosomal RNA (253 nucleotides) under uncultured bacterium. RNAcentral's name for it is "partial 16S ribosomal RNA". It matches the Rfam family "Bacterial small subunit ribosomal RNA", at positions 524 to 776 of the family's 1533-position model. The record is from RNAcentral.